AGUGAACGCUGGCGGUAGGCCUAACACAUGCAAGUCGAACGGCAGCACAGUAAGAGCUUGCUCUUACGGGUGGCGAGUGGCGGACGGGUGAGGAAUACAUCGGAAUCUACUUUUUCGUGGGGGAUAACGUAGGGAAACUUACGCUAAUACCGCAUACGACCUACGGGUGAAAGCAGGGGAUCUUCGGACCUUGCGCGAUUGAAUGAGCCGAUGUCGGAUUAGCUAGUUGGCGGGGUAAAGGCCCACCAAGGCGACGAUCCGUAGCUGGUCUGAGAGGAUGAUCGGCCACACGAGAACUGAGACACGGUCCAGACUCCUACGGGAGGCAGCAGUGGGGAAUAUUGUACAAUGGGCGCAAGCCUGAUCCAGCCAUACCGCGUGGGUGAAGAAGGCCUUCGGGUUGUAAAGCCCUUUUGUUGGGAAAGAAAGGCUGUAGGUUAAUAUCUAGCUGUUCUGAAGGCACCCAAAGAAUAAGCACCGGCUAACUUCGUG
This 492-nucleotide ribosomal RNA is filed under the name uncultured bacterium. RNAcentral describes it as "partial 16S ribosomal RNA". It matches the Rfam family "Bacterial small subunit ribosomal RNA", at positions 29 to 507 of the family's 1533-position model. The record is from RNAcentral.